Non-coding RNA from Parasteatoda tepidariorum (common house spider), 291 nucleotides. NCBI's taxonomy places the organism in Eukaryota, Metazoa, Arthropoda, Arachnida, Araneae, Theridiidae. The record is from RefSeq and is a predicted model, not a curated record.
UAAUCACAGGACAGGUAAAAAGAAUUCCAUUGAAGGAAAAGCUACUAUACCUCAUAAAAACGUUCCUGCAAAGUUGAAAGUAAAAUAUAAUACCAUGCUACUUUCGGACAACUAUUGGAUAUUGGAUACUGAUUACGAUGAAUAUUCUGUGGUCUACUCAUGCCGUAGCGUACUACGUCUUUUCAAAGCAGAAUUUCUAUGGAUUCUAUCUCGAGAAACAGCUUUAGAAGAAACUGCAAAGGAGAACAUAUAUAAAUUAUUGGAUGACAGCACUAUUGAUCGCAAAACUUU